CCCGGUGUAGCGGUGAAAUGCGUAGAUAUCGGGAAGAACACCAGUGGCGAAGGCGCUCUGCUGGGCCAUUACUGACGCUCAUGGACGAAAGCCAGGGGAGCGAAAGGGAUUAGAUACCCCUGUAGUCCUGGCCGUAAACGAUGAACACUAGGUGUCGGGGGAAUCGACCCCUUCGGUGUCGUAGCUAACGCGUUAAGUGUUCCGCCUGGGGAGUACGCACGCAAGUGUGAAACUCAAAGGAAUUGACGGGGGCCCGCACAAGCGGUGGAGUAUGUGGUUUAAUUCGAUGCAACGCGAAGAACCUUACCAGGGUUUGACAUCCUGCGAACCUCUUAGAAAUUUGAGGGUGCCUUCGGGAAUGCAGUGACAGGUGGUGCAUGGCUGUCGUCAGCUCGUGUCGUGAGAUGUUGGGUUAAGUCCCGCAACGAGCGCAACCCACGUUUUUAGUUGCCAGCAUUUAGUUGGGCACUCUAGAAAGACCGCCGGUGAUAAACCGGAGGAAGGUGUGGAUGACGUCAAGUCAUCAUGCCCCUUACACCCUGGGCUACACACGUACUACAAUGCUACGGACAAAGGGCAGCAAACUCGCGAGAGCUAGCAAAUCCCAUAAACCGUGGCUCAGUUCAGAUCGUAGGCUGCAACUCGCCUACGUGAAGUAGGAAUCGCUAGUAGUCGCAGGUCAGCAUACUGCGGUGAAUACGUUCCCGGGCCUUGUACACACCGCCCGUCACACCAUGGAAGUUGGCCAUGCCCGAAGUCGUUACUCCAACCCUUGUGGAGGAGGACGCCGAAGGUGGGGCUAAUGACUGGGGUGAAGUCGUAACAAGGUAACAC
This 834-nucleotide ribosomal RNA is filed under the name uncultured Prochlorococcus sp. Its description in RNAcentral is "bacterial SSU rRNA". It matches the Rfam family "Bacterial small subunit ribosomal RNA", at positions 669 to 1502 of the family's 1533-position model. Lineage: Bacteria; Bacillati; Cyanobacteriota; Cyanophyceae; Synechococcales; Prochlorococcaceae. The record is from RNAcentral.